RNAcentral lists this ribosomal RNA (393 nucleotides) under uncultured bacterium. RNAcentral's name for it is "bacterial SSU rRNA". It matches the Rfam family "Bacterial small subunit ribosomal RNA", at positions 28 to 423 of the family's 1533-position model. The record is from RNAcentral.
AAUCAACGCUGGCGGCGUGCCUAACACAUGCAAGUCGAACGCGAAAGUCCCGCAAGGGAUGAGUAGAGUGGCAAACGGGUGAGUAACACGUGGGUGACCUGCCCUCAGCUCUGGGAUAAGCCUGGGAAACCGGGUCUAAUACCGGAUAUGACUCCAUGACGCAUGUUGUGGGGUGGAAAGCCUUGUGCGGCUGAGGAUGGGCCCGCGGCCUAUCAGCNGUUGGUGGGGUGAUGGCCUACCAAGGCGACGACGGGUAGCCGGCCUGAGAGGGCGACCGGGCCACACUGGGACUGAGACACGGCCCAGGACUCCUACGGGAGGCAGCAGUGGGAAUCUUGCGCAAUGGGCGAAAGCCUGACGCAGCGACGCCGCGUGAGGGAUGACGGCCUCGGU